CGUGUAGGCGGAAUGUCAGGUGUCGUGUGAAAGCCCCGGGCUCAACCCGUGAAUGGCAUGGCAAACCGGCAUUCUUGAGGCAGGUAGAGGUGACUGGAACGACUGGUGGAGCGGUGAAAUGCGUAGAUAUCAGUUGGAACGCCAGAGGCGAAAGCGAGUCACUGGACCUGUCCUGACGCUGAGACGCGAAAGCGUGGGGAGCAAACAGGAUUAGAUACCCUGGUAGUCC
Molecule: ribosomal RNA, 229 nt
Filed under: uncultured bacterium
Lineage: Bacteria
Description: partial 16S ribosomal RNA
Rfam family: Bacterial small subunit ribosomal RNA
Source: RNAcentral